CGCGGGGCUGGCCGGCUCUGGGGAGGCUUGGAAUUGUACAUUUAAGGAGUUUUUUACUUCGCUGGGAGCAUUUUUAAUUUAGCUGUAGGAUAUUUCUGGCUUGCUAAAGCAGCUGAAAACUUUCACAGGGCUUGUGAGCAAAUGGAGUUGAGCCAGAGCGGGGCAAUGGGCUGUGCAUCUCCAUCUGCUGCUGGGACACCAGUGUUUGGAGAACUGCUUAAUCCACACUGGAAAUUGAAAGCUUCGGAAGUGGCGGACUCGGAAUAACUGCAGAGUUCUCCUGGGACAGCGGCUGAACCUCCCGGGAGAGGUUUCCUUGCUGCUCCAAAGGCAGCUCCCAUACGAUGGCAGCAGAGGCCUGCAGCUGCUUCGGAGGAAUUUUUUGCCCAGUAUUUUAUUUUUUUUCCCCAAAGACGGUUGUUUGUUUUGGUUUCGUUCUUGGGUUGAUUUCUUUUUUCCUUCGCCUUUUUUUUCCCCCUUUAGCAAAAGCACUCUCCUCAGAGAAACUGAAAUAGAAACAAAGCGAAAAUCACCCUCAAAUGGGAGGAAAUGGCAUCGUCUGAGACCAGUUCCUUAAAUUAACAAUAACAUGAUGCAAUAUUUUUGCUGAAAAGUUAAAUUAGAUAAAUGUACAAAAAUAAUGAGCCUCGGAGCUGAGCAGCACAGGGCAGAGCCUGAAGUGACGCUGUUCUUGUUUCCUUCUCCUCCUGCGAUCCAGGACCGGACUGAACCUCUCCUUGGAAUCGCAUCCCACCUCCACAAAUCCUGCUGGAUGCACUGCACCUCCGUGUUCCACCCCAAAAACAAACCAGGGAAUUCCAAAGUGCUCAUUUACCCCAAUGUUUCUAGAAACCACCAGAUUCCAUUGUGGGGGAAAAAAUUAUAAUAAACAGGGGCCUCCUGGAGUAUCCUGGGAGAGCUCCUUGGAGCCUGAGGGGAUUUGAAGGAUUUCCUGAGGCUUCAGCCCGUGUUUAACACACAGAGCUGGACCUACAUAAACGCUGCAGUGAUUGGGAUAAUUAAUGGUAAUGGGUUCGGGGUAACACCAUCACCUGGUGCUGGGUUGAGUGAGUCACUGCUGGCCUUUGGUUUUGUUCUGGUUGUAAUCCAGUCAGGGCUUGUGAGCCGGGCUGGGGUGAGGGGGUGCAGAGCAACGAGGGGAAAGGCACGAGACUGAGUUGGAAAAGGCACGAGAUUGAGUUGGAAAAGGUACAAAAUUGAGUUGGGAAAGGCACGAGAUUGAGUUGGAAAAGGCACAAAAUUGAGUUGGAAAAGGCACAAGAUUGAGUUGGAAAAGGCACAAAAUUGAGUUGGAAAAGGCACAAAAUUGAGUUGUCCCAAACUCCUGAGGGUUGGGCUGAGGCCUCGUUCAUCUCAUCCGGCUUUGCCAACACCAACCCUGGGAGCAGCCCGGGAUUCUGCUGAAUAUUCCCGUUGUGGUGCAGCUGCCACUGCCAGGAGGGGUGAGAGAGGUUAAAUCAUCAAAUCAUGGAAUGGUUUGGGCUGGAAGAGACCUCAAAGCUCAUCCAUGGGCAGGGACACCUUCUACCAGCCCAGGGUGCUCCAAGCCCCGAUGUCCAACCCAGCCUUGGACACUGCCAGGGAUCCAGGGGCAGCCACAGCUUCUCUGGGCAGGAACAGGAGAUGGCAUCAUGGAAGGCUUUGGGUUGGAAAGGACCUUAAAGAUCACCCCAUUCCCAAAUAUUCCGGGUUUAGACUGCAAAGCGAGUUUUCCAAAGAGCCCAAACACUAAAACCCACAUGGAGCAAGGAUGGGCUGAGCUGUGUUUGUCCACAGCAUUCCUCCCUGUGA
This is a long non-coding RNA of Corvus hawaiiensis (hawaiian crow), 1812 nucleotides long. RefSeq lists it as uncharacterized. The record is from RefSeq and is a predicted model, not a curated record. The transcript has 3 exons. Lineage: Eukaryota; Metazoa; Chordata; Aves; Passeriformes; Corvidae.